GCCCGCAAGGGUGAGUAAAGUGGCGCACGGGUGAGUAACACGUGGGUAAUCUACCUCCGGGUGGGGAAUAACCUUGGGAAACCGGGGCUAAUACCGCAUAACACCGAAAGGUCAAAGGCGCAAGUCGCCUGGAGAGGAGCCCGCGGCUGAUUAGCUAGUUGGUGGGGUAAUGGCUCACCAAGGCAAAGAUCGGUAGCCGGCCUGAGAGGGCACACGGCCACACUGGCACUGAAACACGGGCCAGACUCCUACGGGAGGCAGCAGUGGGGAAUCUUGCACAAUGGGGGCAACCCUGAUGCAGCGACGCCGCGUGAGCGAUGAAGCCCUUCGGGGUGUAAAGCUCUUUCGACCGGAACGAUAAUGACGGUACCGGGAGAAGAAGCUGCGGCUAACUACGUGCCAGCAGCCGCGGUAAUACGUAGGCAGCGAGCGUUGUUCGGAGUUACUGGGCGUAAAGAGUGCGUAGGCGGUCCUACAAGUCUGUUGUGAAAUCUCCCGGCUCAACUGGGAGGGUGCGGUGGAAACUGUAGGGCUUGAGUGUGGGAGAGGUAAGCGGAAUUCCUGGUGUAGCGGUGAAAUGCGUAGAUAUCAGGAGGAACACCUGUGGUGUAGACAGCUUACUGGACCAUGACUGACGCUGAGGCACGAAAGCGUGGGUAGCAAACAGGAUUAGA
RNAcentral lists this ribosomal RNA (674 nucleotides) under uncultured Acidobacteriota bacterium. RNAcentral's name for it is "bacterial SSU rRNA". It matches the Rfam family "Bacterial small subunit ribosomal RNA", at positions 75 to 782 of the family's 1533-position model. Lineage: Bacteria; Pseudomonadati; Acidobacteriota. The record is from RNAcentral.